RNAcentral lists this ribosomal RNA (501 nucleotides) under uncultured bacterium. RNAcentral's name for it is "bacterial SSU rRNA". It matches the Rfam family "Bacterial small subunit ribosomal RNA", at positions 1 to 495 of the family's 1533-position model. The record is from RNAcentral.
GAUUAGAGUUUGAUCAUGGCUCAGAUUGAACGCUGGCGGCAUGCCUUACACAUGCAAGUCGAACGGCAGCAUGGAGGAGCUUGCUCCUCUGAUGGCGAGUGGCGAACGGGUGAGUAAAGCAUCGGAACGUCCCGUGUAGUGGGGGAUAACGUAGCGAAAGUUACGCUAAUACCGCAUACGCACUGAGGUGGAAAGCAGGGGAUCGCAAGACCUUGCGCUAUACGAGCGGCCGAUGUCAGAUUAGCUAGUUGGUAGGGUAAAGGCCUACCAAGGCGACGAUCUGUAGCGGGUCUGAGAGGAUGAUCCGCCACACUGGGACUGAGACACGGCCCAGACUCCUACGGGAGGCAGCAGUGGGGAAUUUUGGACAAUGGGGGAAACCCUGAUCCAGCCAUGCCGCGUGAGUGAAGAAGGCCUUCGGGUUGUAAAGCUCUUUCGGCUGGGAAGAAAUCGCACAGGCUAAUACUCUGUGUGGAUGACGGUACCAGCAUAAGAGCACCG